This 482-nucleotide ribosomal RNA is filed under the name uncultured bacterium. RNAcentral's name for it is "partial 16S ribosomal RNA". It matches the Rfam family "Bacterial small subunit ribosomal RNA", at positions 30 to 507 of the family's 1533-position model. The record is from RNAcentral.
AUUGAACGCUGGCGGCAUGCCUUACACAUGCAAGUCGAACGGUAACAGGUCUUCGGAUGCUGACGAGUGGCGAACGGGUGCGUAAUACAUCGGAACGUGCCCAGACGUGGGGGAUAACGAGGCGAAAGCUUUGCUAAUACCGCAUACGAUCUAAGGAUGAAAGCAGGGGACCGCACGGCCUUGUGCGUUUGGAGCGGCCGAUGGCAGAUUAGGUAGUUGGUGGGAUAAAAGCUUACCAAGCCGACGAUCUGUAGCUGGUCUGAGAGGACGACCAGCCACACUGGGACUGAAACACGGCCCAGACUCCUACGGGAGGCAGCAGUGGGGAAUUUUGGACAAUGGGCGAAAGCCUGAUCCAGCAAUGCCGCGUGCAGGAUGAAGGCCUUCGGGUUGUAAACUGCUUUUGUACGGAACGAAAAGGCUCUGGCUAAUACCUGGGGCACAUGACGGUACCGUAAGAAUAAGCACCGGCUAACUACGUG